CAGGGGCGUAGCUAGGCAAUUUUGAUGUGUACGCAAUGCCGGAGAAGGUAGUCAUACGGCCGGGGGUCUGGGGGCCGCUGAAGGCCCUCAGAAGUUCUCGGGUAAAUGGUGCAAAAUCCUGCAUUCUCGCAAUUUCCGAGGACUUAAAAUGACCUCACAGAAAUCUUACUUUCAGGAAAAACAAGUCAACUUUGGAAAUAAAUAAUCAGAGAAAAACAAAGAAACCCGUACUGUUGGGCUUAACAAUUUGUUUUUUCUUUUCUUAUGUGUAGUGG
Molecule: long non-coding RNA, 275 nt
Filed under: Mytilus galloprovincialis (Mediterranean mussel)
Lineage: Eukaryota; Metazoa; Mollusca; Bivalvia; Mytilida; Mytilidae
Source: RNAcentral